CAGACCCUUUCGAGCAGCUCUGUUUUGAGUGGCUCUCCGACCGCGACCCCAGGUCAGGCGGGACUACCCGCUGAGUUUAAGCAUAUCAAUAAGC
Molecule: ribosomal RNA, 94 nt
Filed under: Convolvulus lineatus
Lineage: Eukaryota; Viridiplantae; Streptophyta; Magnoliopsida; Solanales; Convolvulaceae
Description: partial 26S ribosomal RNA
Source: RNAcentral